AAACAUCAUCCCAUCGGUUUUCCGAUGACAAUGGAUUUGGGUGUUGCCGUCCGGCUCGCCUUAAAAGUGUUAGUGGUUUCUAGAUCGAAUCUGGCGUAAUAAGUUUCGCUGGCCUAGGUCAAAGGCUGCUCAUAACCCGUCUUCUGACAUCUUUUUG
RNAcentral lists this unclassified non-coding RNA (157 nucleotides) under uncultured Tremellales. RNAcentral describes it as "sequence contains ITS2". Lineage: Eukaryota; Fungi; Basidiomycota; Tremellomycetes; Tremellales. The record is from RNAcentral.